Molecule: small nucleolar RNA, 67 nt
Organism: Protopterus annectens (West African lungfish)
Lineage: Eukaryota; Metazoa; Chordata; Ceratodontiformes; Protopteridae
Product: small nucleolar RNA SNORD61
Exons: 1
Source: RefSeq, a predicted model, not a curated record
GCUGUGAUGAACAAAAUGGAGAUGAUCUAACAGAGAGAUGACUCUUUCUCUAAGAAGUUCUGAGCUG